GACGAACGCUGGCGGCGUGCUUAACACAUGCAAGUCGAACGAAGUGGCGAACGGGUGAGUAACGCGUAAUCAACCUGCCCUUCAGAGGGGGACAACAGUUGGAAACGACUGCUAAUACCGCAUACUGAAGGAGGGGAUUGCGUCUGAUUAGCUAGUUGGAUGGGUAACUGCCCACCAAGGCGAUGGUAAGUAGCCGGGCUGGGAGGGGUAACGGCCACAAUGGGAAUGGGACCCGGCCCAGACGCCUACGGGAGGCAGCAGGGGGGAAUCUUCCGCAAUGGACGAAAGUCUGACGGAGCAACGCCGCGUGAGUGAUGACGGCCUUCGGGGUGUAAAGCUCUGUUAAUCGGGACGCGGUACCGGAAUAGAAAGCCACGGCUAACUACGUGCCAGCCGCCGCGGUAAUUC
RNAcentral lists this ribosomal RNA (408 nucleotides) under uncultured bacterium. RNAcentral's name for it is "partial 16S ribosomal RNA". It matches the Rfam family "Bacterial small subunit ribosomal RNA", at positions 28 to 526 of the family's 1533-position model. The record is from RNAcentral.